This is a non-coding RNA of Xenopus laevis (African clawed frog), 127 nucleotides long. Lineage: Eukaryota; Metazoa; Chordata; Amphibia; Anura; Pipidae. The record is from Rfam.
GCAUGGCUGAAUUCUGCUUAAUCUUGCAGUGAUUUUGGCAGUCAGACACCAUGCUAAAGAAAAGAUCUUGGCACUGUUUUUGGUGGCAUCUUAUAUUGUCUCCCACCGUUCUGCUGAGAGCACACUU